UUUUCUAUUGUUAAAUUUGCACGCAGUGCAAUCUAGCGGGGUUAAGCGCUGUCUGUAAUUUACACACGGUGCUUGAAGAUCAGUUGCAAGCCAUGUCUGAGUGACAUUGAAACACUGGGCUGUGAGCUGCCGAGAAUUAUUU
This 142-nucleotide unclassified non-coding RNA is filed under the name Neogregarinorida sp. OPPPC1. Its description in RNAcentral is "ITS2". The record is from RNAcentral. Lineage: Eukaryota; Apicomplexa; Conoidasida; Neogregarinorida.